Molecule: transfer RNA, 57 nt
Filed under: Onchocerca lupi
Lineage: Eukaryota; Metazoa; Nematoda; Chromadorea; Rhabditida; Onchocercidae
Description: tRNA-Pro
Source: RNAcentral
CUGAAUUAGUUUAAAUUUUAAAAUUAGAUGUUUGGGGCGUUUGGAUAUAUUUUCAGU